RNAcentral lists this ribosomal RNA (317 nucleotides) under uncultured bacterium. Its description in RNAcentral is "bacterial SSU rRNA". It matches the Rfam family "Bacterial small subunit ribosomal RNA", at positions 28 to 334 of the family's 1533-position model. The record is from RNAcentral.
GAUGAACGCUAGCUACAGGCUUAACACAUGCAAGUCGAGGGGCAGCAUUUUAGUUUGCUUGCAAACUAAAGAUGGCGACCGGCGCACGGGUGAGUAACACGUAUCCAACCUGCCGAUAACUCGGGGAUAGCCUUUCGAAAGAAAGAUUAAUAUCCGAUGGUAUAUUAAAACCGCAUGGUUUUACUAUUAAAGAAUUUCGGUUGUCGAUGGGGAUGCGUUCCAUUAGUUUGUUGGCGGGGUAACGGCCCACCAAGACUACGAUGGAUAGGGGCUCUGAGAGGAACGGCCCCCCACAUUGGAACUGAGACACGGUCCAA